CUGAGUCAACGCUACCUAGACUCGCCUCAGCCUUUAGAAGAAUUCUCGGGCCUGGUGGUGGUUCUGCAUCCACUCCCUGCUUCAAUCCUGGUCACUGCUGGAUAGCACUCUACCUACUCUCCACCUCUACACCCUGCGUCAUUCCUCGUUUUCUCCUUGGGAUUCUGUACCCGUGUGCUGCCAGGGACGGCCGUGUGUGAAGUGGAUGGGCGUGGUACCAGCGCUAGAGCAGCUACCCCUGUCAGCCAGAGAAGGCCACAUCCCUGGUUUUUAGUGGAAGGCAGUGUUUAUUUUCAUCUGAGUUACCUGCCUUGAGCUUCCACAAGUGGCAACCUCGCCAGGAUUGUGCAUUCUCGACCUUCUGUUAUGGAGUAUAUGGAAUGCUAAGUCAUCGUUGGGGGAAAGGUACUGUUACCAUCCCCGGCUCAUUAUCAAAGGCUCGGGAGUAUUUUUUUUAUUCCGGUUAAAGUCCUUUUGUGUUGUCAGGUGUAGAGUUUUCUCCUGACUUAAGUAUUUUUUCUCUAUAGCUUCCUUGGGCGUCCUUACUUCAAGGGUUAUUUUCUGUGUUUUCUUGGUGUUGUGUUCAUGUCUAAUAUCAAGGAGCUAUUUUCAAGCGUUGCAACGAGACGAACGACAAAAGCAGCGUGAAGAGAAGGAAAAGGAAAGAAUCUGCCCUUGCCAUGUCGAAUUAAAGCUGAAGCUGUCACUGCAAGGACAUGGAACCGAUUCAAUGAUCUUGCCUGGGGAUUGUGGGACUAUUCCUUGACCUUCUCUAUCAGUCCUUAAGAUGAUCUGAUAUCCUAGUUCACGCUUUGAACGCAUUGCUGCCCUGCUCAACGUUCUUCAGGACACCUACGCCAUUCGACUGGGUAGUCUUCUCUCUGAUAUAAGAACGUUCUUGAAAGAAAACUACCUGCAGACCUUGGACGACGCUGUCAAAAUUUGGGCAGCUGCCCAUCAUGCUUACCCGAAAUGCACAACCCGUAAGGUGUCACAAUUGUGGGGAGCCAGGGCACAUUCGACCUCGAUGUCCGUAAGGUGGGUUUGUUUAGUGAUCCUACAACUCGUCUCUACUUUUAUUCUGGCACCAUCAAUAGAGCGAGAGUAUCUACCAUCAUACAUGACACUGGCUGUUCCUGUGUCAUUAUAUCUGAAGAAGCCUUACCUGAUGUAGACUUCUCCCAGUGUCCUAAAGUUCUUGUUUCUGACCAAUUAGGGAGAGUGGACUCCUUCCCUCGGAUACGAUGCUACCUUCGC
This is a long non-coding RNA of Portunus trituberculatus (swimming crab), 1257 nucleotides long. RefSeq lists it as uncharacterized. The record is from RefSeq and is a predicted model, not a curated record. The transcript has 3 exons. Lineage: Eukaryota; Metazoa; Arthropoda; Malacostraca; Decapoda; Portunidae.